This 529-nucleotide ribosomal RNA is filed under the name Pediococcus pentosaceus. Its description in RNAcentral is "bacterial SSU rRNA". It matches the Rfam family "Bacterial small subunit ribosomal RNA", at positions 64 to 576 of the family's 1533-position model. The record is from RNAcentral. Lineage: Bacteria; Bacillati; Bacillota; Bacilli; Lactobacillales; Lactobacillaceae.
GUACUUGUACUGAUUGAGAUUUUAACACGAAGUGAGUGGCGAACGGGUGAGUAACACGUGGGUAACCUGCCCAGAAGUAGGGGAUAACACCUGGAAACAGAUGCUAAUACCGUAUAACAGAGAAAACCGCAUGGUUUUCUUUUAAAAGAUGGCUCUGCUAUCACUUCUGGAUGGACCCGCGGCGUAUUAGCUAGUUGGUGAGGUAAAGGCUCACCAAGGCAGUGAUACGUAGCCGACCUGAGAGGGUAAUCGGCCACAUUGGGACUGAGACACGGCCCAGACUCCUACGGGAGGCAGCAGUAGGGAAUCUUCCACAAUGGACGCAAGUCUGAUGGAGCAACGCCGCGUGAGUGAAGAAGGGUUUCGGCUCGUAAAGCUCUGUUGUUAAAGAAGAACGUGGGUAAGAGUAACUGUUUACCCAGUGACGGUAUUUAACCAGAAAGCCACGGCUAACUACGUGCCAGCAGCCGCGGUAAUACGUAGGUGGCAAGCGUUAUCCGGAUUUAUUGGGCGUAAAGCGAGCGCAGGC